RNAcentral lists this ribosomal RNA (497 nucleotides) under uncultured bacterium. RNAcentral describes it as "partial 16S ribosomal RNA". It matches the Rfam family "Bacterial small subunit ribosomal RNA", at positions 28 to 507 of the family's 1533-position model. The record is from RNAcentral.
GACGAACGCUGGCGGCGUGCCUAAUACAUGCAAGUUGAGCGCUGAAGGUUGGUACUUGUACCAACUGGAUGAGCAGAGAACGGGUGAGUAACGCGUGUGGAAUCUGCCUUUGAGCGGGGGACAACAUUUGGAAACGAAUGCUAAUACCGCAUAAAAACUUUAAACACAAGUUUUAAGUUUGAAAGAUGCAAUUGCAUCACUCAAAGAUGAUCCCGCGUUGUAUUAGCUAGUUGGUGAGGUAAAGGCUCACCAAGGCGAUGAUACAUAGCCGACCUGAGAGGGUGAUUGGCCACAUUGGGACGGAGACACGGCCCAAACUGCUACGGGAGGCAGCAGGAGGGAAUCUGGGGCAAUGGACGAAAGUCUGACCGAGAAACGCGGCGUGAGUGAAGAAGGUUUUCGGAUCGUAAAACACUGUUGGUAGAGAAGAACGUUGGUGAGAGUGGAAAGAUCAUCAAGUGACGGUAACUACCCAGAAAGGGACGGCUAACUACGUG